GGAAGAUGGAGACAGAGGAGGAAGAUUCUGAUCCAGGUGGUCUAGGUCAAUUUUAUCUUGUCUAGUUUUGAUCUUACCAGGCUGCAGAGGAUGUGAACAAAGCCAAGCACGAGGCCCCGGAGGAGCCAUGCGGGAGUGGGAACGCACAGGAACCGCUUCCGCUGCUUUUUAAAUCUUACCUCAACAGGAAACUAUUUGUCACUCA
Molecule: long non-coding RNA, 205 nt
Filed under: Rattus norvegicus (Norway rat)
Lineage: Eukaryota; Metazoa; Chordata; Mammalia; Rodentia; Muridae
Description: long non-coding RNA NONRATT022083
Source: RNAcentral